RNAcentral lists this ribosomal RNA (406 nucleotides) under uncultured bacterium. Its description in RNAcentral is "partial 16S ribosomal RNA". It matches the Rfam family "Bacterial small subunit ribosomal RNA", at positions 30 to 526 of the family's 1533-position model. The record is from RNAcentral.
AUUGAACGCUGGCGGCAGGCCUAACACAUGCAAGUCGAGCGAGGGGCGGACGGGUGAGUAAUGUAUGGGGAACUGCCCGAUAGAGGGGGAUAACUACUGGAAACGGUGGCUAAUACCGCCUACUAUCGGAUGUACCCAUAUGGGAUUAGCUAGUAGGUGGGGUAAAGGCUCACAUAGGCGACGAUGUCUAGCUGGUCUGAGAGGAUGACCAGCCACCCGGUGACUGAGACACGGUCCAGACUCCUACGGGAGGCAGCAGUGGGUAAUAUUGCACAAUGGGCGCAAGCCUGAUGCAGCCAUGCCGCGUGUAUGAAGAAGGCCUUCGGGUUGUAAAGUACUUUCAGCGGGGAGGCGUUACCCGCAGAAGAAGCACCGGCUAACUCCGUGCCAGCAGCCGCGGUAAUUC